CCUACGGGAGGCAGCAGUGAGGAAUAUUGGUCAAUGGGCGCGAGCCUGAACCAGCCAAGUCGCGUGAGGGAGGACGGCCCUACGGGUUGUAAACCUCUUUUGCCGGGGAGCAACGGGCGUCACGUGUGGCGCCACUGAGAGUACCCGGAGAAACAGCAUCCGCUAACUCCGUGCCAGCAGGCGCGGUAAUACGGGGGAUGCGAGCGUUAUCCGGAUUUAUUGGGGUUAAAGGGUGCGUAGGCGGAUCGUUAAGUCAGUGGUCAAAUUGAGGGGCUCAACCCCUUCCCGCCAUUGAAACUGGCGUUCUUGAGUGGAAGAGAAGUAUGCGGAAUGCGUGGUGUAGCGGUGAAAUGCAUAGAUAUCACGCAGAACCCCGAUUGCGAAGGCAGCAUGCCGGCUUCCGACUGACGCUGAAGCACGAAAGCGUGGGGAUCGAACAGGAUUAGAUACCCUGUAGUC
RNAcentral lists this ribosomal RNA (459 nucleotides) under uncultured bacterium. RNAcentral's name for it is "partial 16S ribosomal RNA". It matches the Rfam family "Bacterial small subunit ribosomal RNA", at positions 338 to 795 of the family's 1533-position model. The record is from RNAcentral.